GACGUAGGGCGCGAGCGUUGUCCGGAAUUAUUGGGCGUAAAGAGCUCGUAGACGGUCUGUCGCGUCGGCUGUGAAAACUCGGGGCUCAACCCCGAGCCUGCAGUCGAUACGGGCAGACUAGAGUGCUGUAGGGGAGACUGGAAUUCCUGGUGUAGCGGUGAAAUGCGCAGAUAUCAGGAGGAACACCGGUGGCGAAGGCGGGUCUCUGGGCAGUAACUGACGCUGAGGAGCGAAAGCGUGGGGAGCGAACAGG
Molecule: ribosomal RNA, 253 nt
Filed under: uncultured bacterium
Lineage: Bacteria
Description: partial 16S ribosomal RNA
Rfam family: Bacterial small subunit ribosomal RNA
Source: RNAcentral